Molecule: long non-coding RNA, 1313 nt
Organism: Hyaena hyaena (striped hyena)
Lineage: Eukaryota; Metazoa; Chordata; Mammalia; Carnivora; Hyaenidae
Exons: 3
Source: RefSeq, a predicted model, not a curated record
CGGGGGACCACCCGAAGGGAGGGCUGGCAGAUGGGGUGGCGACAGGGGGAAUGAGCUCCGCAUUUCCUGAGACGCAAAGUAGCAAAAUCAGGUUUUAAAUUAUUGGCAGUCCCAUUGAAGCCCCCCAAACACACCAAAUAUUUAAAGUCACGGCCGAUACCACGUAGGAUUCAAAACUGCAGAGGGAGAGCUCGUUUGGAGAGAAAAUUACAUAUAUGAAUGGAAACAAACAAAAUACAAAUGGAAGCAAACCAACUUUCCUAGCAGUGGCUUUGGGUGUAACGGUGUUAUUAUGGUUCACUGCCAAAUGGACUCUCAGGCCCAAGACCUAGACACACAGUAAUCUCCCUAGUCCAGGGGCGCAGGAUAUGCCUAGAAAUUGAUGCCAUAUUUGAGUUUUAAGAAAUGUAUUCAGUACUUCAUGCAUGAAAGAAACCUGUCAUCCCUGAACUCACUUAAGUGACAGUUGAAUGAAUUCCUGGCAAGUCCCAUUCCAGAUGAGGUCUCAGAGGACAUUAAAAAAAGACAUCAAAAACAGUGAACUCUGUGCAGAGAGGGCCCAAAUGACGCUUUGGAACAGGAACUGACAACAUCAUUGUGUACAACGUGCCAGGAACAGCACAAAGCAUGGGGCUCUGCACUCAUGACCCCUUUACCAUAUGUCCCCAAAGCACCACCAUCAAUUCUUUGGAUGGCAAAACUGACUAUAUUACAAUGCCGACGUGAACCUAGGGAGUUAAAUGUAAGAAAACCAAAGACACCAGGAAAAAUACUGCUCUGCCAAUGCCAGCAGUGUUUACAUAGGCAUCAAUGGUGAUACAACAUCUUCUGGAAGGAUCCAACGCAGAAAGAUAAGGGAGAAGAGGGAAGGGAAAACAGGAAAGGAAGAACAGAGACAGAAGAUAAGCAAGAAAAGGAGGGAAACAUUUCAGGGAAAACAUUCCGGAGGGAGGGAGAGAGCCCAGGCACAGGAGCACAUAAGCUCAAUGAACAUUUGCUGAACCAACAGAGCAGACAGGAUGGACCUGUAGUCAGGGCGUUAUGACCAUCCUUUGUGAGGACUUAAAAAUAAAUGGUGCUAAAGCUGUACCAGAAAUGCGACCCCCUCACAGAAGUGGAUAAGCACUUUCUCAGAUCUGUUUGUUUUCAAGGAACAAUAUGGAAAGGUAUGUGAUUAAAAAGGCACAUUCUCUAUACCCUACUUCCCACUCCACCUUCUCAGGAGGUGUCCCGAUUAUGUCCCCUCAAAAAUCUGCAAGCAUGCAUCAUUUACCCCUUGGGACACAACAGUGUCAAUAAAGAAUGUCUUGCAA